AGUGAACGCUGGCGGUAGGCCUAACACAUGCAAGUCGAACGGCAGCACAGUAAGAGCUUGCUCUUACGGGUGGCGAGUGGCGGACGGGUGCGGAAUACAUCGGAAUCUACUUUUUCGUGGGGGCUAACGUAGGGAAACUUACGCUAAUACCGCAUACGACCUACGGGUGAAAGCAGGGGACCUUCGGACUUUGUGCGAUUGUAUGAGCCGAUGUCGGAUUAGCUAGUUGGCGGGGUAAAGGGGCACCACGGCGACGAUCCGUAGGUGGUCUGAGAGGAUGGUCAGCUACCCGGGAACUGAGAAAGGGCCCAGACCCUGAGGGGGGGCAGCGGUGGGGAAUAUUGCACGAGGGGGGCAAGGCGGAUCCAGCCAUACCGCGUAGAGGAAGAAGGCCUUCGGGUGGGAGAACCCUUUUGUUGGGAAAGAAAAACAACAGGUUAAUACCCCGCGGUACUGACGGUACCCAAAGAAUAAGCACCGGCUAACUUCGUG
Molecule: ribosomal RNA, 492 nt
Filed under: uncultured bacterium
Lineage: Bacteria
Description: partial 16S ribosomal RNA
Rfam family: Bacterial small subunit ribosomal RNA
Source: RNAcentral